This 31-nucleotide ribosomal RNA is filed under the name Ophiocordyceps xuefengensis. RNAcentral's name for it is "partial 18S ribosomal RNA". The record is from RNAcentral. Lineage: Eukaryota; Fungi; Ascomycota; Sordariomycetes; Hypocreales; Ophiocordycipitaceae.
GGAAGUAAAAAGUCGUAACAAGGUCUCCGUU